GAGGAAUAUUGGUCAAUGGGCGCGAGCCUGAACCAGCCAAGUCGCGUGAAGGAAGAAGGAUCUAUGGUUUGUAAACUUCUUUUGCAGGGGGGUAAAGUGCGGUACGUGUACUGUAUUGUAAGUACCCUGCGAAUAAGCAUCGGCUAACUCCGUGCCAGCAGCCGCGGUAAUACGGAGGAUGCGAGCGUUAUCCGGAUUUAUUGGGUUUAAAGGGUGCGUAGGCUGAAUAUCAAGUCAGCGGUGAAACGUUACAGCUUAACUGUGACCGUGCCGUUGAAACUGUUAUUCUGGAGUGCGAGCGAGGUAGGCGGAAUGUGCCGUGUAGCGGUGAAAUGCAUAGAUAUGGUACAGAACUCCGAUUGCGAAGGCAGCUUACCAGUACGCUACUGACGCUGAGGCACGAAAGCGUGGGUAUCGAAC
This 420-nucleotide ribosomal RNA is filed under the name uncultured bacterium. RNAcentral describes it as "bacterial SSU rRNA". It matches the Rfam family "Bacterial small subunit ribosomal RNA", at positions 356 to 773 of the family's 1533-position model. The record is from RNAcentral.